RNAcentral lists this long non-coding RNA (1630 nucleotides) under Parus major (Great Tit). RNAcentral's name for it is "lncRNA (ENSPMJG00000012573.1)". Lineage: Eukaryota; Metazoa; Chordata; Aves; Passeriformes; Paridae. The record is from RNAcentral.
CUCUCACUGAGCCUUGUCAAAAGUGAGCUCCACUCAAGUGAAAAAUGCAGUAAACUUGUGCUUUAUAUCAAUCAUUCAUAUUUUCAUAUUCAAUAAAUGAAAUCUUCACGCUCCCUGCACUCUUCCUCAUGCCACUGGUAUGUAAAAUCCAAAACUUACUCAUCUUCAGUCCCAGAAGAAUGACUGAAGGCAGUUAUUUUUAUCUUCCUCCAUCUCCUUUGUUAAAAAGGAAGACUUUACAUAAAAUACAAAAAUAAAGCAAAAUUCAGAAAUUGUGAAUCAACAGGUAUAGAAGGUAUCACUGAGGCUACAGAAAGGUGCAAAAGGUAAAGUUUUUUUAUUACUUUGGACAGGGACAGAGGAGUGUGGCAGAAAUAAUAGAACAGUGAUUUGGGUUGUCUGGCUGGAAAUGUGCAACAUCUUUCUCUUUCUCAGACCUGGUGGAAUUCACGAGAAUGUCACAAAGCUUGACUGAAUAGUGAGAAAACAUUUAUGCCUGGAAAUGAAUGGAAAAGUCAGUCACCCCCAGUCGUACACUGAAAACCUGACAGCAGACAAAGAGCAGGCUCUGGGCAACCCGAGGCAAGAGCUUAUGCCAAUGAAUUCACCAGGAGGGAUUACAGAUGUGUCACUGUGUACACUCAACCCUCUUUCAGACACUGCAAUAAGGUGGUAGGUGUGUAUUCCCUCACCAUGUGGUCCUGGAAAGCAUUUUAUUCUGCUCCACCAAAUUGAAUGGAAGAGUCUACUAUCUUCAAGUACUUGUGGUGACUUGGCUGUUGGCACUUGCUGCACUUUUUAUCAAGGGCUUUCUAAGCUGCUCCUGCAUAUUUGAGAUGAUUCUUCAAAGACUGCUUCAAUGGGCCUGUUUUUUUGAGGACUGUUAAGAACUCUAAGGCUGAAACAGCACAUCAGCUCUCUCAGGCACCUGAGACUGCAGCAACAUGUGUCUUGCACAGGAGAGCCAGGAGUGUAUCUAUUUGGACUGUAGCUGUUUCUCAACAACCACCAGAAAACACAAGGCAAAAGACAACUAGCUUCAGUAAGAAAGCAAUCAAUUGAUGACCCUUCUUGCCAAAGACCUGUCUCCCCAUGAUAGCAGAGAGCUUUCUGAAUGCAUAGACAGGAUCUUUACAGAAAUGGCUUGCAUAAGGUCACAGAAGAGCUAUUUUUGAAACAAAGUUCCCAAACCUGCAGCAUUGCCAGACUGACAGGGAGGGAAAAUUUUCCCCCCGACUUGCAGUGAGAAGGCCGAAGGCAGGUAUUGGGGAGCCUGGUCUGCCUGACUCACUUGUUGGCAGCGACAAUUUCCAGCAAGCCCCAAACAUUUGUGAGAAGCUGUGUGACCCCUGGAGGUCCCUGCAGGUGAUCAGGGCAGGCAGAACUCCCGUGGUCCCCAAGGGAAGCGGAGCGCGGUGCCGGCACGUUUCGGCACGCAGGAGCCAACACUGACCCCGCACCAGGCUGGCUGAGGAGGAGGGAGCACGGCUCUCCAGCAGGCAGGAAGGUAGGCAGGCAGGGCUGGAACACAGUGUGUUCCAGUAAUUUGGGAUGACAGGGGAGACAUUGCAGGUUAUUGUAUCUAGCAUACAUUGGAGCUUUGUUUUGUCUAACUCGAGCGAUAUUCUGG